AAAUUCCCUUGGCAGGGGAGAUGCCAUGAUCACAAAGGCGAUUUUCCUAGGGCAAGGCUUAUCCAUUGUACUCUGGAUGUGCUGACCCCUGUGAUUUCCCCAAGUAUGGGAAAUGUAAUUGCAUAAUUUGUGGUAGUGGGGGACUGUGUCAUGCUCUCCCCUG
RNAcentral lists this small nuclear RNA (163 nucleotides) under Dasypus novemcinctus (nine-banded armadillo). RNAcentral's name for it is "U1 spliceosomal RNA (ENSDNOG00000028992.1)". It matches the Rfam family "U1 spliceosomal RNA". Rfam says of the family: U1 is a small nuclear RNA (snRNA) component of the spliceosome (involved in pre-mRNA splicing). The record is from RNAcentral. Lineage: Eukaryota; Metazoa; Chordata; Mammalia; Cingulata; Dasypodidae.